RNAcentral lists this ribosomal RNA (253 nucleotides) under uncultured bacterium. RNAcentral describes it as "partial 16S ribosomal RNA". It matches the Rfam family "Bacterial small subunit ribosomal RNA", at positions 524 to 776 of the family's 1533-position model. The record is from RNAcentral.
UACGUGGGGUCCGAGCGUUGUCCGGAGUUACUGGGCGUAAAGGGCGCGCAGGCGGCGGCGUGGGUCCGGCGUGAAAGCCCCCGGCUCAACCGGGGAACGUCGUCGGGGACCGCGCCGCUUGAGGGCGGCAGGGGCCGGUGGAAUGCCUGGUGUAGUGGUGAAAUGCGUAGAGAUCAGGCGGAACACCCGUGGCGAAGGCGGCCGGCUGGGCCGUCCCUGACGCUGAGGCGCGAAGGCGUGGGGAGCGAACGGG